Camelina sativa (false flax) is the source of this 1262-nucleotide non-coding RNA. Lineage: Eukaryota; Viridiplantae; Streptophyta; Magnoliopsida; Brassicales; Brassicaceae. The record is from RefSeq and is a predicted model, not a curated record.
CGCCGAGAGAUCAACAGCAAAAAUCUGAAGAAAAAUAAAACUCCUCAACUUUGAAACCUCUCUACAUAGUCGAAGAAGAUUCUGAAAGAAUCGAAGAGGAGAAGUUUCACAAAUCUCCAUUUUGAGGUUCAGCAGGGAGGGAACAUGUCAGUUCUUAUUGUGACGAGUCUUGGGAGCUGGAGAUGUAGUGAUUGAUGAUCUACUCCCAUAAAAUGUUCUCUGACCUGCAAGACCUUUAUCAUCCUCUGCAAGAUCAAGUGAUACAAUCGGUGCCUGCCUCUCCCACACUGUAGGAUUUCACAGCACAGAACUUGGUGCUCAGGAACUGGAGGAGUUUAUCCGCGAAAAGGCUGCCCAUUCUAGUAGUGCCGUUGUACUUGAAAGUAUAGGAGAUAUAUAUCCCACAGGCCGAGGUAAAGCCUCCUGACAAUGUGUUGUUCAUCUGUUUACUGAGUCCUGUGACUGAGGUUAAGGGUCAAGGGUUGAUGUAAUCCGGGAUUUCAAGACAGGUGACACUUUGUGCUAGCGCCUUUAAAUAGGUGACUAGAAAUCUCUUGUUAAUUACGAUUUUUUUUAUUUUUUUUUUAUUUUUUUGUUAUAAAGUUUAAUUUAAAAACCAGGAUGCAUGUGAACAAGCUUACUUCAAGGUAAAUGUCAACUUGAAGUGUUGACAUAGAUUUGUAAAUUAUACCAAGUUGUUGCUUUCCAGAUGGACAAUGCUCUGAUCAAUGAUAGACGAAUACAUGUGGAUUUCAGUCAAGAGUGUAUCCAAACUUUGGUCACAGUUCCGGCAGAAAAGACGAAAUAACUGUAGAAAUCCUUGACAAAACAUGGAACGCUGCAAGGCUAGCUCAACUUUACUUGGCGGCAAAAAAUGGUUACAGGGAAUGGAUGUUUCAAAUGUGGCUCAAUGGAUCUUGUUGCGAAGGACUGUGUGGGUGGUAAUCAGUCUUCAAAGGUCAUUGUAAAGGGAGGGCAAGAGAGAGAAGCGAGAGAUGGGAGAAGGAAUAGGUAAUGGCAUGGACCGAUUACAAUAAGUAGGAAUUGUAUGAGUGUGUGAGGCAAAGAAAGAAAGAUUUCAUUAAAAAAUAAAACAACACACCAUUUGAUUUGAAGAUGGUCUUUUGUACUGUGUAUCUCUUAUCUAAACUGUCUAUUUUUUCAUGUAUAAAAUAGACACAAGAACACUGAUACAUGCAUGGUGACCGCUGAAGCCAAUUGCAGAUGAGGCAAUAUAAAACAUGGCCAGUCAGCUUUGGUAA